CCGGCUUACCAACCCGAUGCAAACUGCGAAUACCGGAGAAUGUUAUCACGGGAGACACACGGCGGGUGCUAACGUCCGUCGUGAAGAGGGAAACAACCCAGACCGCCAGCUAAGGUCCCAAAGUCAUGGUUAAGUGGGAAACGAUGUGGGAAGGCCCAGACAGCCAGGAUGUUGGCUUAGAAGCAGCCAUCAUUUAAAGAAAGCGUAAUAGCUCACUGGUCGAGUCGGCCUGCGCGGAAGAUGUAACGGGGCUAAACCAUGCACCGAAGCUGCGGCAGCGACACUGUGUGUUGUUGGGUAGGGGAGCGUUCUGUAAGCCUGUGAAGGUGUGUC
This 333-nucleotide ribosomal RNA is filed under the name Salmonella enterica. RNAcentral's name for it is "partial 23S ribosomal RNA". It matches the Rfam family "Bacterial large subunit ribosomal RNA", at positions 931 to 1262 of the family's 2925-position model. RNAcentral also lists the same sequence under 1 other name. The record is from RNAcentral. Lineage: Bacteria; Pseudomonadati; Pseudomonadota; Gammaproteobacteria; Enterobacterales; Enterobacteriaceae.